AUGCAGUUUUUCUUUGAGACAUUCCAUCAAACACUUUGCCAAUUUUGGAGAAUUUAUGUGAAAACUGUAUACUGCAGCAUGUGUGUCUUUUAUUGCUUUGUGAAUCUGUUCUAGAGCCAUUCUAAGAUCCUUUUGAGUGCCAACUUUCAUUGCAAACCGAAUUAAUUGCUUGAUUGUCUUGAUUGGAAAUCUGUCACCAAGUGUUUGAUGAAAGUCCUUGGUGCAAAUUCUGUUUGAUAUUUCCAACAGUAGCAAAAUCUAUUUUCUGUGGCAAUUACAUUGAUCUGGUUGAUUCUUUGUGAGUGUUUUGUGGCUGCAGAAAAGCUUCAAGCAAUUACCUAUUGUUGGUAGCAUAUUAGAAAGAAGAUUGGUGAGGUUAAAGUUGGUUGAAGGGUGGCUUGGUGUUGCAGAUUUCUCACGGCAGAGUGCAGAAUUUG
RNAcentral lists this long non-coding RNA (437 nucleotides) under Vigna radiata. Its description in RNAcentral is "long non-coding RNA (VRAD_LNC013267)". Lineage: Eukaryota; Viridiplantae; Streptophyta; Magnoliopsida; Fabales; Fabaceae. The record is from RNAcentral.